CCAGCCGUUCUCCUCUUUCCACGCGGAUCUGGUAUAGCAUAUAGCACGUCCACGCGGAUCUGGUAUAGCACAUCCCCAGGCGGCCAGGCGUUCUGCAUCCGCUCGAGCACAUCCCCAGGCGGCCAGGCGUUCUGCAUCCAGGCGGCCAGGCGUUCUGCAUCCAGGCGGCUAGGCGUUCUGUACCAGUUACUACUUUUUCAGGUAUAGCAUAUAUUGUUUUCAGUUACUUUUUCAGGUAUAUACUACGGCAAAUUCUGUUUUGAGUGAUAGCAGUAAGUCAUCUAGACUUGUUCUCACAGCAUAAAUUUUCAGUUGGAAAAUCAGUAUAUAUAAAAUUUAAUUCUCCAACUGGGAAAAUGUCAGCAUAUAUUACAUCUUUAAUUCUCCCACUGGGGGUCCAGGUAGUUUAGAUGUGGAGUCAAGUGAGCUCUACCGUUAUAGUCGAUCUUUUGUAAUCCAAGUACGAAAAGAACAAGAUGAAGGACCGGAUAGAAAUUCCAUAGGCAAAACUUCCAUUAGACAUUAUCACGAUGCAAUUCGACAUCAUCAACCUAGGCAGAAGGAUUUAGAUAAAAUGCAAUAACUAAAGCAUGAAAACAAAUGAGAAUGUGGACCAAACAUCCAAAAAAUAUCUAGACUAUUUACCACUAAAAUUAAUCAUAAGAGGUAUUCAGAUUCCAUAAAUGCAGCAACUAAAUUGUCCAUGGGGUGCAACCAUUUGGAAUUAUCAUCCAAAGUUAAGUCAGAGAUCAAAUUCAUAAAAUGAUAAAGGUAUGGGUAUGGUUUCUAAUAUCAAAUAUAAAAUGCUUCUCUGGAAAGUUUGUACAAGGAUAUACAUGUUGACCAAUAUUUAAAAAACAUGGAGGCUAUUUUUACUGCAGUGAAUCCUUGUAUUCAAAAACAAGGUGACUUCAAACACAGUAAUCUAUAACCAUUGUCCACCCACAAAUUAAGAUAUAUCAUUGACAUGGUGAGACCGUAAGAGACACAUUGGUGCUACAUGUACAGCUUUCAACAUAAAAAAUAGGCCAAGAUAUCGCAUCAGAUAUCCAAGGCUCCAAGCUUUUGGACAGCUCGCAUUUAGUAACUAAAUAGAUCAACUUAUACCAUUCAAUGGCAUAUUUCAAUAAUCCGACAUCAAGGUGACAAAAAUGACAUUAAUGUGAUAUUACAAUAUAUCAAAAUAUAUAAGCAGUCAACUGUAGUAAAAAUACUGUCUUACCUAAAAUAAUUCCCUGAGCACCUCUGUAGUAAGAACUAGUUAUUGUCCUAAACCUCUCCUGGCCAGCUGCAAAGCAUUGUAAGUAUUUAUUAUUUAUUUAUUUUUAAGGAAAGUGGCAGGAGCUCUGCCUUACAUUGAAGCAAGGGGAAAAAAGAGACGAAGGUUUUGCCUUGAUGGCAGGCACGCCUCAACAGGCUACAGUGCAACCACGAGCUCUUGAGAGAUCCAACCCACAAAUAAACAUAAACAAAAAGCACACGAUGGACUCCAAGUUUUUGGAAUAUUGAAAAUAUCAGAAAACAAGGUAACAUAAUUUAUGUCGUUAAUAGAUAACUUAGAAACCUUCAAGUUCUAGCAGUAGUAGACAGAGGUAACAUGGUGAAGCACCUAGAUACCUUUGGGCAAAAUGAGUUGGUGGGGCUAAACAAGAAAACUUUUAAUAAUAUUGGAACGUAGGGUCACAAUGAUUUAGAGAUGUGAGGGCUAACAUGGCGAAAGUAGCCAAAUAUUUUAGGCACAAAGCAGCAAUGUCGAGCUAAAAUCUGUGAAUAAGAAACCCCAAUAGCCAUGAUGUAAGGACAGGCGUGGAAGAAGAAACCAAAUAUAUUAGCUGAAAAGCAAACCUUGAUUCUCAAACCACUAACAGUAAUGAUAGCAGAAAAGGGUGGAAUUCUAAAAUGAGUAAAAACAGAAGCAUUUAGCAGCAAACAUUGGAAUGUCCAGCAAGUUCUGAUGAAGAUACCAAACUGCAUGCAAAACAGCCUUGCUAGCAUUGUGUAUUCCCAUAAAAAAACAGAGAUAUAAUAACAAAUAGUAAGUUUUUUUUUGCAUAAUCUAAGUUCUUACCAGUAUCCCAUAUUGUCAACUUUAGUUUCUUUCCACCAACUGUAAGGAACUUGAUUUUAAAAUCCACACCUGGCAACAAGUAACACAAUUCAUACUUUUAAUUAGAUAAGAGUGUCACACACCAGAAGCAUGCAAUACAGAAAGAUGCUAUUACCAAACUGGAAUCAAAGAGAUGUCUUUGUUAAGAUUGCAAAAUAAGUUGUUAGUACAUGAAAAGAAGUUUAUUUGCGGGGAAGAAUAAAACACAUGCAAAUAAUACGUUCAACUCACAUGUAAGUAAUAUGUUAACUCUUUUGUUAGAAUUUUGUUGGCAGAUGCCUACAUCUCUUAUAUGUUCGCAAAUUCUUAUUGUUUUGGAUAAAUCAGGUCAUGUUGAGCUUAAAUGCUUGUUAUUUGAAAUCCAUUGGUUCACUUUCAUCAAAGUCAUAUACUUAGGGGGUGUUUGAUUUCUAGGGACUAAUUUUUAGUCCUUACAUUUUACUUCAUUUUAGUUCCAAAAUUGCCAAAUAUAGAAACUAAAACUUUAUUUUAUUUUCUAUAUUUGGCAAUUUAUAGACUAAAAUGGAAUAAAAUGAGGGACUAAACAUUAGUCCCUAGAAACCAAACACCCCCUUAUAUGAACUUGUGGAUUGCUUCGUCUUACUUAAAAAAUAAACUUAUGAUGUGUUGCAGGAGUUGCUAUUUUUGGGGGGCCUGUUGCACAUGAAGUAUUGUGCAUUCCAGAAGCAAAUUCAUUCCAUCAUAAGGCUGCAACACCAUCUAGUGGAGGUAGAUAAGGCAUCAAAACUGUAUUUUUAUUUGCAAAUGCAGCAACAAUAUACUAAUUUGAUGUACUUUUUUCUAGGGUGUUCUGGACAAAGAAAGCUUGUACCUUAAAACAGGAGGAUACAAGAAGCUGGAGUGGUUGUCUGAAGGCUUUUGAACUGCUUGAAGCAUUAGUGUAGCUUUGGUACUUUUGUGACUGAUCAGCUCUGGAGCAGCUAGAGUGAUAUAGUUGUGGGCUUUUGAACAAUAGUUGGAGUGAUAUGAAACAUUAGUGAUCUAGUUGUGAAUGAUAUUAUAAUUGUGAUACUUUUGUGAAUAUAUAAUUGUGGUGCUUUUGUGUUUAUGUGAUGGAUCUAUGACUGUGGUAUACUGAUUAACUGUGUAUGUCUUUAUGAUUUGUGUAUAAAA
Molecule: long non-coding RNA, 3241 nt
Filed under: Zea mays
Lineage: Eukaryota; Viridiplantae; Streptophyta; Magnoliopsida; Poales; Poaceae
Description: long non-coding RNA (ZMAY_LNC004017)
Source: RNAcentral